ACGUCCACAUCAUGUUGAAAAAACCGGUUCUCGUCCAAUGACCAAAGAAAGUCAAACAAGAUCGAGCGCGGUCAGUACUUGGAUAGGUGACCGCCUGGAAACCCCGCGUGACGU
Molecule: non-coding RNA, 114 nt
Organism: Eumeta japonica
Lineage: Eukaryota; Metazoa; Arthropoda; Insecta; Lepidoptera; Psychidae
Source: the annotation of a GenBank genome assembly